Molecule: ribosomal RNA, 650 nt
Filed under: uncultured bacterium
Lineage: Bacteria
Description: bacterial SSU rRNA
Rfam family: Bacterial small subunit ribosomal RNA
Source: RNAcentral
GGAUAACAGUUAAAAAUGACUGCUAAUACCGCAUAAGCGCACUAAACCGCAUGGUUCGGUGUGAAAAACUGAGGUGGUAUAGGAUGGACCCGCGUCUGAUUAGCUUGUUGGUGGGGUAACGGCUCACCAAGGCGACGAUCAGUAGCCGGCCUGAGAGGGCGGCCGGCCACAUUGGGACUGAGACACGGCCCAAACUCCUACGGGAGGCAGCAGUGGGGAAUAUUGCACAAUGGGGGAAACCCUGAUGCAGCGACGCCGCGUGAGUGAAGAAGUAUUUCGGUAUGUAAAGCUCUAUCAGCAGGGAAGAAAAUGACGGUACCUGACUAAGAAGCCCCGGCUAACUACGUGCCAGCAGCCGCGGUAAUACGUAGGGGGCAAGCGUUAUCCGGAUUUACUGGGUGUAAAGGGAGCGUAGGUGGCAUGGUAAGCCAGAAGUGAAAACCCGGGGCUCAACCCCGCGGAUUGCUUUUGGAACUAUCAGGCUGGAGUGCUGGAGGGGUAAGCGGAAUUCCUAGUGUAGCGGUGAAAUGCGUAGAUAUUAGGAGGAACACCGGUGGCGAAGGCGGCUUACUGGACAGAGACUGACACUGAGGCUCGAAAGCGUGGGGAGCAAACAGGAUUAGAUACCCUGGUAGUCCACGCCGUAAACG